This 58-nucleotide transfer RNA is filed under the name Salmo salar (Atlantic salmon). It matches the Rfam family "tRNA", at positions 8 to 63 of the family's 71-position model. Rfam says of the family: Transfer RNA (tRNA) molecules are approximately 80 nucleotides in length. Their secondary structure includes four short double-helical elements and three loops (D, anti-codon, and T loops). Further hydrogen bonds mediate the characteristic L-shaped molecular structure. tRNAs have two regions of fundamental functional importance: the anti-codon, which is responsible for specific mRNA codon recognition, and the 3' end, to which the tRNAs corresponding amino acid is attached (by aminoacyl-tRNA synthetases). tRNAs cope with the degeneracy of the genetic code in two manners: having more than one tRNA (with a specific anti-codon) for a particular amino acid; and 'wobble' base-pairing, i.e. permitting non-standard base-pairing at the 3rd anti-codon position. Lineage: Eukaryota; Metazoa; Chordata; Actinopteri; Salmoniformes; Salmonidae. RNAcentral also lists the same sequence under 1 other name. The record is from Rfam by way of RNAcentral.
UGGCUCAGUUGAUAGAGCAUGGCACUUGUAAUACCAGGGUUGUGGGUUUGAUUCCCAC